ACUUAUUUUCCCUGUUAAAUCUGAUUCUAUAGAUUUUUAUUAAUUUAUUUUUUAUUUUUUCCCAAGAGAUUUCACUUUUGAACAAAAUAAAUUAUAAUCUUUUGUAGGUUUAUGCAGAUUGCUACUACCGGAGAGAUUGAACAAAUGGAAUUAAUCCAACCACUUAGCCAAAAAUUUCGUCAAUGAUGUUGUAAUGGCUUUCCUUCAUGCUUCUUGCAUCAAUUCCAACUUGAAUAUUGCACCGGAGUUGUUUACAGGUAGAUAUGAAGAUUAUAUAUGGGAUAACACAGUUGCGGAAGACGACUGAAAAUCAGGGAAGGAAGUCAAGGGAGGAGCUGCUAAGAUUAUUAUCAGUCGCUUGGUUCUGCUGUGAAAUUCUGUGACUAAGCCUGUUGGACUUCAUGAUCCGAAAGGAUCAUCGCUACUGUAGAUAGGCGCAACCGAGUGCGAAUGGGUCUGUGAACUUAAUAUUAGUCUGCUACUCAUUAGAUAUUGAUAUGAAUAUGUACUCCGGUUCCACUCUGUACAUAUCCGUACGUGCUGGGUUUUCACGCAGUACAUAUCGAUAUGUAAUAAAGUUGGAAAUCUUUUGUUUGUCUUG
Papaver somniferum (opium poppy) is the source of this 601-nucleotide long non-coding RNA. RefSeq lists it as uncharacterized. The record is from RefSeq and is a predicted model, not a curated record. Lineage: Eukaryota; Viridiplantae; Streptophyta; Magnoliopsida; Ranunculales; Papaveraceae. The transcript is spliced from 4 exons.